RNAcentral lists this ribosomal RNA (253 nucleotides) under uncultured bacterium. RNAcentral describes it as "partial 16S ribosomal RNA". It matches the Rfam family "Bacterial small subunit ribosomal RNA", at positions 524 to 776 of the family's 1533-position model. The record is from RNAcentral.
UACGAAGGGUGCAAGCGUUAAUCGGAAUUACUGGGCGUAAAGCGUGCGUAGGCGGUUGGCUAAGUCAGAUGUGAAAGCCCUGGGCUCAACCUGGGAAUGGCAUUUGAAACUGGCGAGCUAGAGUGUGAUAGAGGAUGGCGGAAUUCCCGAAGUAGAGGUGAAAUUCGUAGAUAUCGGGAGGAACACCGGUGGCGAAGGCGGCCAUCUGGACGGAUACUGACGCUGAGACGCGAAAGCGUGGGUAGCAAACAGG